Molecule: non-coding RNA, 29 nt
Filed under: Cricetulus griseus (Chinese hamster)
Lineage: Eukaryota; Metazoa; Chordata; Mammalia; Rodentia; Cricetidae
Source: RNAcentral
UAACCAGGAUGUAGCUGGAGCCUCUGAAA